GGCGAGGUAGCUCAGUCGGUUAGAGCAGCGGCUUCAUAAGCCGCGUGUCGCGGGUUCGAGUCCCGCCCUCGCCA
This 74-nucleotide transfer RNA is filed under the name Pirellula staleyi DSM 6068. RNAcentral describes it as "tRNA-Met (CAT) (tRNA-Met-CAT-1-1)". It matches the Rfam family "tRNA". Rfam says of the family: Transfer RNA (tRNA) molecules are approximately 80 nucleotides in length. Lineage: Bacteria; Pseudomonadati; Planctomycetota; Planctomycetia; Pirellulales; Pirellulaceae. The record is from Rfam by way of RNAcentral.